AAGGCCUUAGCUUAAUUAAAGUGUCUGCUUUGCAUGUAGGAGAUGUGGAAUAAAGGUCCGCAGGUCUUA
Molecule: transfer RNA, 69 nt
Filed under: Pterapogon kauderni
Lineage: Eukaryota; Metazoa; Chordata; Actinopteri; Kurtiformes; Apogonidae
Description: tRNA-Ala
Rfam family: tRNA
About the family: Transfer RNA (tRNA) molecules are approximately 80 nucleotides in length. Their secondary structure includes four short double-helical elements and three loops (D, anti-codon, and T loops).
Source: RNAcentral